RNAcentral lists this long non-coding RNA (493 nucleotides) under Phoenix dactylifera (date palm). Its description in RNAcentral is "long non-coding RNA (PDAC_LNC019390)". Lineage: Eukaryota; Viridiplantae; Streptophyta; Magnoliopsida; Arecales; Arecaceae. The record is from RNAcentral.
GGGAUGACUCCGCUUUUUCAGGGGACGUCUCCGCUACCUUAUCUCCGAAAAAAUCAUUCUCUGGAAAACCCUGAGAGAGCCGUCUCCGCUAUCUAGGGGACGACUCCGCUGGUCUGCUUUUUACUUGCAGGGACGACUCCGCAGGUACCGGGGACGUCUCCAGACGUGCCAGUUCUUCCUGUUUGUGCCAGAGACGUCUCUGAGACAACCCGGAGACGUCUCGGCUGUCCCUAAUCUGUUUUCUUCAACUCAAAAAUUCUUCAAUAAAUUCAUAAAAAUUAUGGGAACUUGCCUAGACGUCUCGGCUGUCCCUAACCUUAAUUAAACACAUGAAAUCCUCAAUUAAAUUGUUAAGAUAAAUGAAAUUAUACUCUCGUGUUUUGUAUUCAUCAAAAUCCAUUAGGUGGUCAACACGCGGCGUGCCUCAGAGGAACAGUCUGUUGUUGUCGAGAGAUUGUCGACUCGGGGUCGGAUUGCUGGAUCAAGGGGCAGC